RNAcentral lists this ribosomal RNA (620 nucleotides) under uncultured Bacillus sp. RNAcentral's name for it is "bacterial SSU rRNA". It matches the Rfam family "Bacterial small subunit ribosomal RNA", at positions 427 to 1035 of the family's 1533-position model. The record is from RNAcentral. Lineage: Bacteria; Bacillati; Bacillota; Bacilli; Caryophanales; Bacillaceae.
AAAGCUCUGUUGUUAGGGAAGAACAAGUAUCGUUCGAAUAGGGCGGUACCUUGACGGUACCUAACCAGAAAGCCACGGCUAACUACGUGCCAGCAGCCGCGGUAAUACGUAGGUGGCAAGCGUUAUCCGGAAUUAUUGGGCGUAAAGCGCGCGCAGGCGGUCCUUUAAGUCUGAUGUGAAAGCCCACGGCUCAACCGUGGAGGGUCAUUGGAAACUGGGGGACUUGAGUGCAGAAGAGGAGAGCGGAAUUCCACGUGUAGCGGUGAAAUGCGUAGAGAUGUGGAGGAACACCAGUGGCGAAGGCGGCUCUCUGGUCUGUAACUGACGCUGAGGCGCGAAAGCGUGGGGAGCGAACAGGAUUAGAUACCCUGGUAGUCCACGCCGUAAACGAUGAGUGCUAAGUGUUAGAGGGUUUCCGCCCUUUAGUGCUGCAGCAAACGCAUUAAGCACUCCGCCUGGGGAGUACGGUCGCAAGACUGAAACUCAAAGGAAUUGACGGGGGCCCGCACAAGCGGUGGAGCAUGUGGUUUAAUUCGAAGCAACGCGAAGAACCUUACCAGGUCUUGACAUCCCGUGACAACUCUGGAGACAGGGCGUUCCCCUUCGGGGGACACGGUGAC